Long non-coding RNA from Gadus macrocephalus (Pacific cod), 3148 nucleotides. RefSeq lists it as uncharacterized. The transcript has 5 exons. NCBI's taxonomy places the organism in Eukaryota, Metazoa, Chordata, Actinopteri, Gadiformes, Gadidae. The record is from RefSeq and is a predicted model, not a curated record.
CACUAACAACAAAAAGCAGAGUGAGUGGCAACAUGUUGCUGCAGCAGUGAACUCUGUCAGUAGCACGGAGCGCACAGUCCCAGAAUUAAAAAGAAGUGGUCUGACAUAAAGUUACAUAUUUUUAUGUAGCCUACCAAUAAAUCGUUAUGGUCCCUAAAGACCCUCUCCCUCCGAAUCCUGCCAUUUGCAUGGUCCGCCAGAAGUGCCAUAUGGUGCAGCAUUACCACGGCGCUCACCUCUGUAUUUAUAGGGUUACGGUAAUAAGACUGACCGAGAACACCUUGGAUAAUCAGUUUGUAAUUACCCACGUAAAAUGUUCUUGAACAUAACCCCUUUUUAAUGCCUGAUUUGUCAUGAAAAGCAUCAAGAGUAACGGACAACGAUUGUGAUGAGGAGUGUGGCUUGGUUUUCCACACUUGGGAUUUAAUUGACAUUUGAUUACCCGUUUACAGUGUCACAUAAAAAUAUUAUGUUAUUGACACAUGUUGGACAGAUGCUUUAUUCCAUGCAGUCGCGCCGUCAGUGGACAGUAUGGAGUGAUGGGAUUAAAUAUAGAGCAUUUUUUUAAAUUUAUAUUCUAAGGAGAUGUUUCUGGAGUUAUAACUGAGAAAUAACGCAGUUGACUUAAAUUAUUCUGAUUACAUAGAUGUAACGCAUGAUACGGGUUGAAAUUAAAUUAAUGAAGGGCGAUGAUGAAACAUAAUCGUUCUUCUCACUCUCCAAUUCUUCGGUCUGACUUCAGUUCACCACCACACCAUCUGUGUCGCCAAUUCUCCUUUUCCUCUAAACUAUGCGUACGCAUGGGUCAGAGUUUGCUUAGGGCUGCGCACAUUUUCCCGUCAAGUUGGUUUUUUAUAGAUCACAACCUUGGCGUGGAAAGUCACGUACGCCAAUUUCAGCCCCGUUUUGUGCGUACGCAACGGUUAUAAAUGAGACCCCUGGGGCCUCAUGUACUAAGACUUGCGUGGAUUUCAUACUGAAACUUGGCGUACGCCAAAACCCAGAAACUGUCUUACGCACAAAUAAAUUCAGAUGUAUCAAAGUGUGCGAACGCAUGGAUCCAAGCACGUUUCUUUUGUACAUCUCGAUCAACGUGGAAUUGAGCGCACAUGCCGAGGUGCCAAACUCCUCCCUGUCCACGCCCUCAUUUAAAUAUGCAAUUUCAUUUAAAUAGGCCUCUGGACCUGAGAUUCACCUCUUAAUCCGAUCACCUGGCACCAUGAACAGAGGCAAAAAACGAAACUUCACGGAGUCUGAGCUCGAGAUUUUGCUCCACGAGGUAGAAAUGCGCAAGCAUAUGCUAUUGGAACCCUGUCAACAGGGAUAAAUGCAAAACAAAAGAGAAGUGAGUGGGAGUGUGUUUGCGAGGCCGUCAAUGCAGUGGGGUCUCAGCAGCGCACACACUCUGAAAUUAAAAAAAAGUGGUCAGACCUCAAGGUGGAGGUGAAGCGGAGGGUUUCUGCCCACCGCCGAAGCGUGACCGCAACAGGUGGGGGGACGGGAGUGGGGGAACUCUCCCCCUUCGAUUUGAGAGUGGCCGCUUUGAUCGGUGACACAGCUCUCACCGGAGUGGUGGGAGCCCAUGAAGGGGACACCGAUCAUCCCCAAGACAAGCAAGGAGAGGGCACGGAUUGCUCCGUCGGCCCCGGCGUCUCCAGCACCCUUCGGAUUUGACCAUUUGCGAUGUCCUCUAACAACGCUAACGCAGCCAUUUUUAAAACAAUUUUCUUCAUCCAUUGCGCAUGCUUUUAUAGCCACCCAUAUAAUUGCAAGGUGUGUUAAUUGUUCAUUAGUGUGUCUCUGAUGUGCAAAUCACUCUGAGUCAUUGUUUUCACCUUUUUUCCCAGUUUCCCAGCGUCACCUCUAAGUGUCGCCAAAGGAACAAUAGCUGUAGAAACGUGCGUACGACAGCUCUGGAGCUGGCGUGGGGACCGCACAUUUUUACGAUCAUUUCACGUUUUGUACAUCUGAACGUGAGCGUGGAAAAGGACGUACGCCACGUUUUUGUGCGUACGCAACCUUAGUACAUGAGGCCCCUGGUCCUGUCGACAUCCUUCUACACCACGAAACAGAUGAACGCAUGGAAGAGUAUGGAAGCCUACAACUUCUUUGUGUGUGGCUGGGUGAAAGACCUUGGCGUGAAAAGGCUGCCUGACAACUCCUGCAUCGUUUAUGCCCGUGUCAACCAUUCUCAGAGAUCUACGGAGACUCCACUGAAGACACGGCUAUUAGUGAAAGAAGAUGAAGAGGUGAUUACAGCGCACUGCAACAGCAUGGCUGGGCUUGCAGAAUCCUGCUUUCACGUUGGAGCUGUACAAUAUGCCUUGGAGACAGGUGUGAGAUGAGUCAGUCACGUGCACAAUGAAGAAAAGUAAAUGUCUCAAGCCAUCCCAUAUCAACAAGAUCCCAGUGGCUGCUGUAUCAGAUAUCGACUUUGCAUCUGCAAGAGCUAAGAAGAAGAGACUUGAUGAUGCUAUUUCUGGCUCAAGCCCUGAACAAAGCAAAUCUCCCUCCACGAAAAGGGUCUCCCCCUGAGAUUUCAGCAACCACCAGUCUCCCAAAGCCCAUCCUGGAUUACCGAACACCAGACAGGCUGUCAGCCAGAGACCUGCAUGGCUUGUGUGAGCAGUUCAAGAUGCCAGAUCUGACCCCUGCUCCUAUAGCAGCCGUAGAGCGAGAGACCAGGAAGCAUGCAGCCUCAAGGAUAUGGUUCAGGCAGAGAGCAGGCCGGAUAACAGCGUCCAAGCUUAAACAAGCCAUUCGGACAAAUGCAGACAAGCCAGCAAAAAGCCUUAUCAAGGCAAUCUGUUACCCAGAAUCAAACAGAUUCUCUACUGCAGCUACAACAUAAUUGUUUUUAUUUUUCAAACCCCUUUUUGCAAUAAUGCAAAAUUUACAGUUUUUUUUUAGAUAAGAAUAAAUAAAAAUAUAUGCAAACACAUUAUCUCAUCUCAUCACAUCUUCGUCCGCUUAUCCGGGGUCGGGUCCCGGAGGGAGCAGCUCAAGCAGGGGGCCCCAGACUUCCCUUUCCCGGGCCACAUUGACCAGCUCUGACGGGGGGAUCCCGAGGCGUUCCCAGGCCAGUGUUGAGAUAUAAUCUCUCCACCUAGUCCUGGGUCUUCCCCGAGGUCUCCACCCCACUGGACGU